CGCAGUGACAGGUGGUGCAUGGCUGUCGUCAGCUCGUGUCGUGAGAUGUUGGGUUAAGUCCCGCAACGAGCGCAACCCACGUCGUUAGUUGCCAGCAUUCAGUUGGGCACUCUAGCGAGACCGCCGGUGAUAAACCGGAGGAAGGUGUGGAUGACGUCAAGUCAUCAUGCCCCUUACAUCCUGGGCUACACACGUACUACAAUGCUACGGACAAAGGGCCGCAAGCUCGCGAGAGUUAGCAAAUCCCAUAAACCGUGGCUCAGUUCAGAUCGUAGGCUGCAACUCGCCUACGUGAGGGAGGAAUCGCUAGUAAUCGCAGGUCAGCAUACUGCGGUGAAUACGCUCCCGGGCCUUGUACACACCGCCCGUCACACCAUGGAAGUGGCCACG
RNAcentral lists this ribosomal RNA (390 nucleotides) under uncultured Synechococcus sp. RNAcentral describes it as "bacterial SSU rRNA". It matches the Rfam family "Bacterial small subunit ribosomal RNA", at positions 1027 to 1418 of the family's 1533-position model. The record is from RNAcentral. Lineage: Bacteria; Bacillati; Cyanobacteriota; Cyanophyceae; Synechococcales; Synechococcaceae.